UACGUAGGGUGCAAGCGUUGUCCGGAAUUAUUGGGCGUAAAGAGCUCGUAGGCGGUCUGUCGCGUCGGAUGUGAAAACCCGGGGCUUAACCCCGGGCCUGCAUUCGAUACGGGCAGACUCGAGUGUGGUAGGGGAGACUGGAACUCCUGGUGUAGCGGUGAAAUGCGCAGAUAUCAGGAAGAACACCGGUGGCGAAGGCGGGUCUCUGGGACACUACUGACGCUGAGGAGCGAAAGCGUGGGGAGCGAACAGG
RNAcentral lists this ribosomal RNA (253 nucleotides) under uncultured bacterium. RNAcentral describes it as "partial 16S ribosomal RNA". It matches the Rfam family "Bacterial small subunit ribosomal RNA", at positions 524 to 776 of the family's 1533-position model. The record is from RNAcentral.